AUGUUUGACAUCUCGUCCUACCUGCCUUUUCUCAGUGAACUGACUCUUUAUGGUUUGGAAGAAUGUGAUAGUCUUCCUCCAUUCGUGGCACUGCCGAAUUUAAGAAGCAUAUCUCUAUACAACAUUCCCAAGAUUAGAAAAAUUGGCAAGGAAUUCUAUGGAGAGGGCAGACCUUGUAUGAAACUAAGAGUACUGCGAUUGGAGUUGAUGGAGAAUUUGGAGGAAUGGUGGACAACAGAGUCAAGUAAAGAAAAUGAAGAGUUUCUAAUCCCUAAUUUGCAUUAUUUGGAGGUAGUGAACUGCCAAAAGCUGAAGUUCCUGCCAUAUCCCCCAAGAAGUAUGUUUUGGUUUUUGAGCAACAACGAGACAGUUUUGCCUGAACGAGGAUUUGGAAAGCUCUUGUCUUCCAUUCUUUCCUUCUACGAUGGUUCUAGAGAGUUGUAG
This 444-nucleotide ribosomal RNA is filed under the name Triticum aestivum (bread wheat). RNAcentral describes it as "partial small subunit ribosomal RNA". Lineage: Eukaryota; Viridiplantae; Streptophyta; Magnoliopsida; Poales; Poaceae. The record is from RNAcentral.